GAAUGGCGGCGUCCAGGCGGUUCAGUUCCAGGCCCGCCUUCUGACUGCGGGCCCCUCCUCUGCCAAGAUGGCCCCCGGAGUGAGUGAGAGUGGGUUUGGUUUAUAAACCACAGUGUGGAUGUUUCACCGGCAGGAAGAAACAGCUGCCAAGUCACACAUCGAGAGCCGGACAGAGGCCUCUUCCUGUGUGUGUGGAAAAACCACGAGCUCUGCAGUCAGAGAGGAUAUUGGAGGCCAGAGAGGGAAGAAGCCGGAGAGAGAAACGAGGUGAUGAGAGAAACACACAGGCAAGAGUCAGAACGUGACAAGAAGCUGAACGAUGGUGGAGGUGCUGCUGCAGGAGAAGGGAUGUAAGGAUCUGGCCUGGGUGGGGAGGGUCCUGUCUGUAUCAGAGACAGGGUAGCCUGAACCUCACCAUUGCCCUCUCCCAGCCCACCCACUGCUGGCUUCCCUGAACGGAGCAUCCAUUUCCUGCGGCUGCUGUCAUAAGUGACCAUAGGCUGGUUGACUUGAAAACGACCCAGAUGUACUCUCCCUCAGUUUAGGAGGGGCCUGUGUGUGUGCUCAGUCGCUCAGUCAUACCUGACUCCUGCAUCUGCUGCAUUGGCAGAAAGAUUCUUUACCACUGCACCAUCUGGGAAGCUCUCUCUUGGUUGUGGAGGCCAGAAGGUCAGCCAGGGUGUUGGCAGGCCACGCUCCCGCCAUAGGCUCUAGAGGGGGCUCCGUCCUGGCCUCUCCCAACUUCUCGCAGCCCCGGGUGUUCCUGGGCCUGUGGCUGCCUCACUCCUGUCUCUGCCUCCAGUCGCCUCUUCUCCCUGCAUUUCUUAUAAGGACACCCGAUGUGGCUUUCUAGUCCAGCCCUACACAAUCUAGGAUGCUCUCAUCUUGAGAUCUUUAACUUAAAGACAUCUGCCAAGACCCCUUUUCCAGAUAAGGUCAUGCUGGCAGGUACUGGGGGACAUAUCUUUUGAGGGAUCACGAUUCACACACUGUGCCAUACAUUCCUUACUCACCUUGCCUGACAGCUCUUUUUGAGCCUGAAUAUACAAAAGAAAUGUGGGAAGUGAGACUGGGUUUACAGUUUAGAAACAGAGGCAAAGCAGAUGUUUGCAGAGCUUGAUGGAAAAUGGUGGGUGUGUUGGAGACGUGGAGAGAAAUACAGUAGAAUGGAAGCUUAAAGGGGCAAGAGAUACACCAGCUUGGCUUGGGGGCCAGCAAGGAAAAGGAGGCUCCUCAUAGCAGACCUGAUAUGUGAGUGGAUUUUGACAGACAGGAGGACAUGAACUUGUGGGACAGGGACAAUCUGGGCAGAAAAACUAGCCUCAGGGAGGCCCAGAGGCAGGAAGCAGGGGGUUCACAGGCAGUGCUAAGAACUAUCUGGAGUGAUGGGAGCACAGAUGAGUGGAUGGCCGAGGCAAGAGGGGAUGGUAGAGAGGGUGUCUGGGGACAGGAUAGGGUGCCUUGAA
Molecule: long non-coding RNA, 1466 nt
Organism: Bos taurus (domestic cattle)
Lineage: Eukaryota; Metazoa; Chordata; Mammalia; Artiodactyla; Bovidae
Source: Ensembl